This is a long non-coding RNA of Gorilla gorilla gorilla (western lowland gorilla), 302 nucleotides long. RefSeq lists it as uncharacterized. NCBI's taxonomy places the organism in Eukaryota, Metazoa, Chordata, Mammalia, Primates, Hominidae. The transcript is spliced from 3 exons. The record is from RefSeq and is a predicted model, not a curated record.
UUUACUUUUGAGGCUUUGGGACUCGGACUGAGCCACUACUGGCUUCCUUGCUCUUCAGCUUGCGGAGAGCCUAUCUUGGAACUUCAUCUUGUGAUUCUAACCUUCUGGAAGCCCUGACUGCCUUGCUGUAAGGUCGGCUGAAUGGAAAGAGACAAAGGCUGUUGGCCCUGAUAACAGAGGACACGGAGAACACUGACGGGCCAGCACAGAGAGGUGUCAAACCUACAUUGCAGCCUGAAGGAUGUCUUCACUUCCUCCUGCUCCUUCGCCUUGUAUCCUUCAUAGAUUUUUCCCGCAAUAAA